This 451-nucleotide ribosomal RNA is filed under the name uncultured bacterium. RNAcentral's name for it is "bacterial SSU rRNA". It matches the Rfam family "Bacterial small subunit ribosomal RNA", at positions 354 to 797 of the family's 1533-position model. The record is from RNAcentral.
GUAGGGAAUCUUCCACAAUGGGCGAAAGCCUGAUGGAGCAAUGCCGCGUGAGUGAAGAAGGUUUUCGGAUCGUAAAACUCUGUUGUUGAAGAAGAACAUGCGUGAGAGUAACUGUUCACGUACUGACGGUAUUCAACCAGAAAGCCACGGCUAACUACGUGCCAGCAGCCGCGGUAAUACGUAGGUGGCAAGCGUUGUCCGGAUUUAUUGGGCGUAAAGAGAAUGUAGGCGGUUUAUUAAGUUUGAAGUGAAAGCCCUCGGCUCAACCGAGGAAGUGCUUCGAAAACUGGUAAACUUGAGUGCAGAAGAGGAAAGUGGAACUCCAUGUGUAGCGGUGGAAUGCGUAGAUAUAUGGAAGAACACCAGUGGCGAAGGCGGCUUUCUGGUCUGUAACUGACGCUGAGAUUCGAAAGCAUGGGUAGCAAACAGGAUUAGAAACCCUAGUAGUCCC